RNAcentral lists this ribosomal RNA (490 nucleotides) under uncultured bacterium. RNAcentral describes it as "partial 16S ribosomal RNA". It matches the Rfam family "Bacterial small subunit ribosomal RNA", at positions 30 to 507 of the family's 1533-position model. The record is from RNAcentral.
AUUGAACGCUGGCGGCAGGCCUAACACAUGCAAGUCGAACGGUAACAGGAAGCAGCUUGCUGCUUCGCUGACGAGUGGCGGACGGGUGAGUAAUGUCUGGGAAACUGCCUGAUGGAGGGGGAUAACUACUGGAAACGGUAGCUAAUACCGCAUAACGUCGCAAGACCAAAGAGGGGGACCUUAGGGCCUCUUGCCAUCGGAUGUGCCCAGAUGGGAUUAGCUAGUAGGUGGGGUAACGGCUCACCUAGGCGACGAUCCCUGGCUGGUCUGAGAGGAUGACCAGCCACACUGGAACUGAGACACGGUCCAGACUCCUACGGGAGGCAGCAGUGGGGAAUAUUGCACAAUGGGCGCAAGCCUGAUGCAGCCAUGCCGCGUGUAUGAAGAAGGCCUUCGGGUUGUAAAGUACUUUCAGCGGGGAGGAAGGGAGUAAAGUUAAUACCUUUGCUCAUUGACGUUACCCGCAGAAGAAGCACCGGCUAACUCCGUG